This 468-nucleotide ribosomal RNA is filed under the name uncultured bacterium. RNAcentral describes it as "partial 16S ribosomal RNA". It matches the Rfam family "Bacterial small subunit ribosomal RNA", at positions 28 to 507 of the family's 1533-position model. The record is from RNAcentral.
GACGAACGCUGGCGGCGUGCUUAACACAUGCAAGUCGAACGGAAGGGCGCUGCUUGCGUCGGGUGCCAGCGGGGCGCGCGGGUGAGUAACAUAUGAGUCACCUGGCUUUUACUUUGGGACGACCUCAAGCAGCCGGGAAUACUACCGGAUAGGAGCUCCUGCUGCAUGGUGGGGGUCGGAACGUAUCGGCGGAUGGGGAUGGACUCGCGGGUUAUCAGCUUGUUGGUGGGGUAGUGGCUUACCAAGGCUUCGACGGGUAGCCGGCCUGAGAGGGUGACCGGGCACAUUGGGACUGAGAGACGGCCCAGACUCCUACGGGAGGCAGCAGUGGGGAAUAUUGCACAAUGGGCGGAAGCCUGAGACAGCAACGCCGCGAGCGGAAUGACGGCCUUGUUGUUGUAAACCGCAUUCGCCUGUGACGAAGCUUUAGUGACGGUAAUGGGUAAAUAAGCACCGGCUAACUACGUG